Sinocyclocheilus rhinocerous is the source of this 85-nucleotide long non-coding RNA. RefSeq lists it as uncharacterized. NCBI's taxonomy places the organism in Eukaryota, Metazoa, Chordata, Actinopteri, Cypriniformes, Cyprinidae. The record is from RefSeq and is a predicted model, not a curated record. The transcript has 3 exons.
AAAGAGCACAUAGUUAUUGUGUUGGGACCCCAUACCUGAAAUUUUCUUAGGGCCCCCAAAUCACUAAAGUUGAGGUCAAAAGUUU